CCAAUUACCCAUUUUAUUGUUUCAUUUCUUAGCCAAACAAGAUCAAAUCCACUAAAUAACCCUAAACACCUACAAUAAAGUGCAUAAUGUUGUCUCGACUCUCGCACUCACUCUCGCAACCUAUCUAAUAUUCCAAAACCUAUACAAUCGUCGGCCGACACUCUGACCUCCGAUCGAAGCCGUGACUUUCCCCGACUGAAGCUUUGAUCG
RNAcentral lists this long non-coding RNA (210 nucleotides) under Olea europaea (common olive). RNAcentral describes it as "long non-coding RNA (OEUR_LNC008187)". The record is from RNAcentral. Lineage: Eukaryota; Viridiplantae; Streptophyta; Magnoliopsida; Lamiales; Oleaceae.